RNAcentral lists this ribosomal RNA (253 nucleotides) under uncultured bacterium. RNAcentral describes it as "partial 16S ribosomal RNA". It matches the Rfam family "Bacterial small subunit ribosomal RNA", at positions 524 to 776 of the family's 1533-position model. The record is from RNAcentral.
UACGUAGGUUGCAAGCGUUAUCCGGAAUUAUUGGGCGUAAAGAGCUCGUAGGCGGUUUGUCGCGUCUGCUGUGAAAACUGGAGGCUCAACCUCCAGCCUGCAGUGGGUACGGGCAAACUAGAGUGCGGUAGGGGAGAUUGGAAUUCCUGGUGUAGCGGUGGAAUGCGCAGAUAUCAGGAGGAACACCGAUGGCGAAGGCAGAUCUCUGGGCCGUAACUGACGCUGAGGAGCGAAAGCAUGGGGAGCGAACAGG